ACGGCUGUAACAUGUUGAAACACCGGUACCGGUACGAUCAACGAAGUUAAGCAUCGUCGAGCAUGGCCAGUGCCUACAUGGGUGACCGUUUGGGAAUACCAGGUGUU
Non-coding RNA from Acanthosepion pharaonis, 107 nucleotides. The record is from the annotation of a GenBank genome assembly. Lineage: Eukaryota; Metazoa; Mollusca; Cephalopoda; Sepiida; Sepiidae.